This 2520-nucleotide long non-coding RNA is filed under the name Volvox carteri. Its description in RNAcentral is "long non-coding RNA (VCAR_LNC001676)". The record is from RNAcentral. Lineage: Eukaryota; Viridiplantae; Chlorophyta; Chlorophyceae; Chlamydomonadales; Volvocaceae.
CUUACAAGACCAAGUGCUUGCGGCAUUUGCGAGUUUUCGCUCACUCAUGUUCGAGGGAAAAUUGCUUGCGUGCAUGGGGAGGAUGGAUGCGUUUGACCUUAAGAAGCACCCAAAAUCCUAAAAUUGUAGAUCGCCUGUCGUCACACGCCAUGCCACGCGUGAAAAUGUCUGUUAUUUAGCUUAGUGAGAGGCAAGUAGGUCGGACUCGGGGGUCAGUUUCAGAGCAAUUGAGGGAAGGGGGUGGGGCCAUGAGACCAUGUGCCUAAUUAGCACCAUUGUCAAAAAUGGACGUUUUCCAAUUCCAGGUAAAACACGAGGCGUUCCCAGUGUGACUUCGAUCACGCAGCCACGGCAGCCAGGUAUAACAACGGGCUUGUGAGGUGCCUCGGACUACAAGUUGCACGGUUUCAACAUCUGCGAAGUAGUUAGUGGUUUGCGCCUGCCAUUCUAGUCUUCACAGAUGUUCAUUGUGGCUUUCCAGGUUACUUGGAUAGGGACUCGGUGAUAUGCCCGCAUGCGGGUUUGGGCAGGGAACAUCACAAGAACUUACAAGACCAAGCGCUUGCGGCAUUUGCGAGUUUUCGCUCACUCAUGUUCGAGGGAAAAUUGCUUGCGUGCAUGGGGAGGAUGGAUGCGUUUGACCUUAAGAAGCACCCAAAAUCCUAAAAUUGUAGAUCGCCUGUCGUCACACGCCAUGCCACGUGUGAAAAUGUCUGUUGUUUAGCUUAGUGAGAGGCAAGUAGGUCGGACUCGGGGGUCAGUUUCAGAGCAAUUGAGGGAAGGGCGUUGGGCCAUGAGACCAUGUGCCUAAUUAGCACCAUUGUCAAAAAUGGACGUUUUCCAAUUCCAGGUAAAACACGAGGCGUUCCCAGUGUGACUUCGAUCACGCAGCCACGGCAGCCAGGUAUAACAACGGGCUUGUGAGGUGCCUCGGACUACAAGUUGCACGGUUUCAACAUCUGCGAAGUAGUUAGUGGUUUGCGCCUGCCAUUCUAGUCUUCACAGAUGUUCAUUGUGGCUUUCCAGGUUACUUGGAUAGGGACUCGGUGAUAUGCCCGCAUGCGGGUUUGGGCAGGGAACAUCACAAGAACUUACAAGACCAAGCGCUUGCGGCAUUUGCGAGUUUUCGCUCACUCAUGUUCGAGGGAAAAUUGCUUGCGUGCAUGGGGAGGAUGGAUGCGUUUGACCUUAAGAAGCACCCAAAAUCCUAAAAUUGUAGAUCGCCUGUCGUCACACGCCAUGCCACGUGUGAAAAUGUCUGUUGUUUAGCUUAGUGAGAGGCAAGUAGGUCGGACUCGGGGGUCAGUUUCAGAGCAAUUGAGGGAAGGGGGUGGGGCCAUGAGACCAUGUGCCUAAUUAGCACCAUUGUCAAAAAUGGACGUUUUCCAAUUCCAGGUAAAACACGAGGCGUUCCCAGUGUGACUUCGAUCACGCAGCCACGGCAGCCAGGUAUAACAACGGGCUUGUGAGGUGCCUCGGACUACAAGUUGCACGGUUUCAACAUCUGCGAAGUAGUUAGUGGUUUGCGCCUGCCAUUCUAGUCUUCACAGAUGUUCAUUGUGGCUUUCCAGGUUACUUGGAUAGGGACUCGGUGAUAUGCCCGCAUGCGGGUUUGGGCAGGGAACAUCACAAGAACUUACAAGACCAAGCGCUUGCGGCAUUUGCGAGUUUUCGCUCACUCAUGUUCGAGGGAAAAUUGCUUGCGUGCAUGGGGAGGAUGGAUGCGUUUGACCUUAAGAAGCACCCAAAAUCCUAAAAUUGUAGAUCGCCUGUCGUCACACGCCAUGCCACGUGUGAAAAUGUCUGUUGUUUAGCUUAGUGAGAGGCAAGUAGGUCGGACUCGGGGGUCAGUUUCAGAGCAAUUGAGGGAAGGGCGUUGGGCCAUGAGACCAUGUGCCUAAUUAGCACCAUUGUCAAAAAUGGACGUUUUCCAAUUCCAGGUAAAACACGAGGCGUUCCCAGUGUGACUUCGAUCACGCAGCCACGGCAGCCAGGUAUAACAACGGGCUUGUGAGGUGCCUCGGACUACAAGUUGCACGGUUUCAACAUCUGCGAAGUAGUUAGUGGUUUGCGCCUGCCAUUCUAGUCUUCACAGAUGUCCAUUGUGGCUUUCCAGGUUACUUGGAUAGGGACUCGGUGAUAUGCCCGCAUGCGGGUUUGGGCAGGGAACAUCACAAGAACUUACAAGACCAAGUGCUUGCGGCAUUUGCGAGUUUUCGCUCACUCAUGUUCGAGGGAAAAUUGCUUGCGUGCAUGGGGAGGAUGGAUGCGUUUGACCUUAAGAAGCACCCAAAAUCCUAAAAUUGUAGAUCGCCUGUCGUCACACGCCAUGCCACGCGUGAAAAUGUCUGUUAUUUAGCUUAGUGAGAGGCAAGUAGGUCGGACUCGGGGGUCAGUUUCAGAGGAAUUGAGGGAAGGGGGUGGGGCCAUGAGACCAUGUGCCUAAUUAGCACCAUUGUCAAAAAUGGACGUUUUCCAAUUCCAGGUAAAACACGAGGCGUUCCCAGUGUGACUUCGAUC